GCCGGAGUAGCUCAGUUGGGAGAGCAUUAGACUGAAGAUCUAAAUGUCCCCGGUUCGAUCCCGGGUGAGGCA
This 72-nucleotide transfer RNA is filed under the name Schistosoma mansoni. It matches the Rfam family "tRNA". Rfam says of the family: Transfer RNA (tRNA) molecules are approximately 80 nucleotides in length. Their secondary structure includes four short double-helical elements and three loops (D, anti-codon, and T loops). The record is from Rfam by way of RNAcentral. Lineage: Eukaryota; Metazoa; Platyhelminthes; Trematoda; Strigeidida; Schistosomatidae.